This is a non-coding RNA of Schistosoma mansoni, 45 nucleotides long. The record is from Rfam. NCBI's taxonomy places the organism in Eukaryota, Metazoa, Platyhelminthes, Trematoda, Strigeidida, Schistosomatidae.
UUCCAGCUGAAGAGUCCUAAAUAGAAAGAAACGCGCGUCCUGGAU